This is an unclassified non-coding RNA of 268 nucleotides. The stretch from base 1 to 46 matches the Rfam family "Eukaryotic small subunit ribosomal RNA", at positions 1786 to 1831 of the family's 1831-position model.
AAGUCGUAACAAGGUUUCCGUAGGUGAACCUGCGGAAGGAUCAUUAUCGAGUUACUAUUGACUUUGAUGCUGGCCGCUCGCGGCAUGUGCUCGAGUCUUUAAAUCCACUCAACCACUGUGCACUAAUUCGAAGCUUUGCGGUUCAGGCUCCCUUCGGGUUGAGUUCGGGCUUGCGGGGUUUUCGAGCUUCAUACAAACCACUAUAUUGUCAUGUCGAAUGUAAUACUUUAAUAAAAUACAACUUUCAACAACGGAUCUCUUGGCUCUC